GAACUCACUCUGUAGACCAGGCUGGCCUCAAACUCACAGAGAACUGCCUGCCUCUGCCUCCUGAGUGCUGGGAU
RNAcentral lists this microRNA precursor (74 nucleotides) under Cricetulus griseus (Chinese hamster). Its description in RNAcentral is "miRNA (ENSCGRG00001004648.1)". The record is from RNAcentral. Lineage: Eukaryota; Metazoa; Chordata; Mammalia; Rodentia; Cricetidae.